This 71-nucleotide transfer RNA is filed under the name Coniochaeta ligniaria NRRL 30616. It matches the Rfam family "tRNA". From Rfam's summary of the family: Transfer RNA (tRNA) molecules are approximately 80 nucleotides in length. Their secondary structure includes four short double-helical elements and three loops (D, anti-codon, and T loops). Further hydrogen bonds mediate the characteristic L-shaped molecular structure. tRNAs have two regions of fundamental functional importance: the anti-codon, which is responsible for specific mRNA codon recognition, and the 3' end, to which the tRNAs corresponding amino acid is attached (by aminoacyl-tRNA synthetases). tRNAs cope with the degeneracy of the genetic code in two manners: having more than one tRNA (with a specific anti-codon) for a particular amino acid; and 'wobble' base-pairing, i.e. permitting non-standard base-pairing at the 3rd anti-codon position. The record is from Rfam by way of RNAcentral. Lineage: Eukaryota; Fungi; Ascomycota; Sordariomycetes; Coniochaetales; Coniochaetaceae.
AAGAGUAUAGUUUAAGGGUAAAAUAGAAAGCUUUAACCUUUAAAUUCUCAAUUCAAAUCUAAGUACUCUUA